UAAUUAUUUUUUUUCUGUUUAUUUCAGGGCCCUCCUGGUCCAAAGGGCGAGAAGGGAGAUCAAGGUGAUCAGGGCCCUCGGGGUCUGCCAGGCUUCCCCACAGUUGCUGCUCUGCACAGUAAUCAGAUCCUCACCGUCAAGGGGGACCAAGGACAAGCUGGACCCCCUGGGCCUCCAGGGCCUCCAGGACCCAGAGGUCCCCCAGGAGAUACUG
Molecule: long non-coding RNA, 214 nt
Filed under: Dromaius novaehollandiae (emu)
Lineage: Eukaryota; Metazoa; Chordata; Aves; Casuariiformes; Dromaiidae
Description: lncRNA (ENSDNVG00000005047.1)
Source: RNAcentral